UGCCCCGAUGACUGGGACAACCCGAGGAAACUCGGGCUAAUACCGGAUGUAGUCUGAUUCCAUCAGGAGCCAGACCAAAGGAAGCUUCGGCCUCCGCAUUGGGAUGGGCCCGCGGCCCAUUAGCUUGUUGGUGAGGUAACGGCUCACCAAGGCGACGAUGGGUAGCUGGUCUGAGAGGACGAUCAGCCACAUUGGGACUGAGACACGGCCCAGACUCCUACGGGAGGCAGCAGUGGGGAAUCUUGCGCAAUGAGCGAAAGCUUGACGCAGCAACGCCGCGUGGGGGAAGAAUGCCUUCGGGUUGUAAACCCCUUUCAGGAGGAACGAAGGAUCGGCCGUUAAUAGCGGUCCGGUUUGACGGUACCUUCAGAAGAAGCCCCGGCUAACUACGUGCCAGCAGCCGCGGUAAUACGUAGGGGGCAAGCGUUGUCCGGAAUCAUUGGGCGUAAAGCGCGCGUAGGCGGCUCGAUAAGUCUGCUGUGAAAGUCAAAGGCUCAACCUUUGAAAGCCGGUGGAAACUGUCGAGCUAGAGUCCGGAAGAGGCGAGUGGAAUUCCUGGUGUAGCGGUGGAAUGCGCAGAUAUCAGGAAGAACACCAACGGCGAAGGCAGCUCGCUGGGACGGUACUGACGCUAAGGCGCGAAAGCGUGG
Molecule: ribosomal RNA, 650 nt
Filed under: uncultured Actinomycetes bacterium
Lineage: Bacteria; Bacillati; Actinomycetota; Actinomycetes
Description: bacterial SSU rRNA
Rfam family: Bacterial small subunit ribosomal RNA
Source: RNAcentral